UAAUACGUAGGUGGCGAGCGUUGUCCGGAUUUACUGGGCGUAAAGAGCGCGCAGGCGGCUGGUCAAGUCCGAUGUGAAAGCUCCCGGCUUAACUGGGAAAUUGCAUCGGAAACUGAUCGGCUGGAAGGUGGGAGAGGGUAGCGGAAUUCCCGGUGUAGUGGUGAAAUGCGUAGAUAUCGGGAGGAACACCAGUGGCGAAAGCGGCUACCUGGCCCAUUCUUGACGCUGAGGCGCGAAAGCUAGGGGAGCAAACGGGAUUAGAUACCCCGGUAGUCCUAGCCGUAAACGAUGAACACUAGGCGUAGUCGGUAUCGACCCCGGCUGUGCCGUAGCUAACGCAUUAAGUGUUCCGCCUGGGGAGUACGGCCGCAAGGCUA
This 377-nucleotide ribosomal RNA is filed under the name uncultured bacterium. RNAcentral describes it as "bacterial SSU rRNA". It matches the Rfam family "Bacterial small subunit ribosomal RNA", at positions 521 to 896 of the family's 1533-position model. The record is from RNAcentral.